RNAcentral lists this ribosomal RNA (274 nucleotides) under uncultured bacterium. Its description in RNAcentral is "partial 16S ribosomal RNA". It matches the Rfam family "Bacterial small subunit ribosomal RNA", at positions 523 to 796 of the family's 1533-position model. The record is from RNAcentral.
AUACGGAGGGUGCGAGCGUUAAUCGGAAUUACUGGGCGUAAAGCGCGCGUAGGCGGUUACGUAAGUCGGGUGUGAAAGCCCCGGGCUCAACCUGGGAAUUGCAUUCGAAACUGCGUAGCUAGAGUCUGAUAGAGGGAAGUGGAAUUUCCGGUGUAGCGGUGAAAUGCGUAGAUAUCGGAAGGAACAUCAGUGGCGAAGGCGACUUCCUGGAUCAAGACUGACGCUCAGGUGCGAAAGCGUGGGGAGCAAACAGGAUUAGAAACCCCGGUAGUCC